Molecule: long non-coding RNA, 1930 nt
Filed under: Daphnia pulex (common water flea)
Lineage: Eukaryota; Metazoa; Arthropoda; Branchiopoda; Diplostraca; Daphniidae
Description: uncharacterized LOC124192110, transcript variant X1
Source: RNAcentral
GGUUUCUCCGGUUUAUUUAAGUAGUUAAGAAAUGUAGAAUCGCGAAGAGUUUUUAAAAAAUUAAAGACGUGUAGGAAUGAAAAUCUUGCAAUAAGGUAGAGAAAUCAGUUUUUGCGGUGAAGUAAUAAUUGUAGAGAAAAGAAAGAAAUACUUUUACGAAGUGGUAUUGCAAAACGUGAACGUACGAAAUCAGCCAGAGGUAAAUGGGCUUGCAGGAAUAUAGUUCACAUUUUGAGUACUUCUUUGAGAUCAUUUUUCUGUGAUGUAUCAUGCUUCCCAACCUACCACAUUUGUUUUUGUUUUAAUUGGAGUAGUGGAGUAGCAGUCGUGAAGUGAGAAAGCAGAAAGGGAAACAGAUUUUGCGGUACCAGGCUCAGGAAAAAAGAAACCGUAGAAGUCACUUGUCGCUCAAGUUCUCCAUUAUCUAACCUUUAACCACCAAUUGCGUAAAGCACUAGAUUUUGAAACACAAACGCGAUGCAAUUUUUCUUUACGGUGAAUGAGUUAGACCGUAUCACGAAGUCAAGCAUCUAGCCCGAUGUUCAAGAUUUUCAUUAGGGCCUCAAGAAUAACUCACCGGCUUGGAUAUAUUGUCUUCCGUCAAGAAAGUUGUCUAGCCUUUAGCUAGAUCUUAAUACAAACCUUAGUCUUACACUCUACUGAUUAUAAAAGAAUUUCUAGUUCUGGAAGACCUUCUGGGAGACUUUCGCAACCCGUCCGUUAUGGAUUGCAAACUGGGAGUGCGCACUUAUCUCGAAGACGAGUUGGCAAAAGCCAAACUCAAACGGAGUAACUUUUUGUCAUGGAAAUUUUUCCUCCGGAUUUCAGGUGCAGACUGGAAAAAAAAGAAACUUCGCGACAGAUGGAGAAAAUGAAAAACGAUCACGAGGAAGCGAUCUUAACAGCCGUUCGCGAUGCUCUAAAGCCGGUCGAUAGCGAAUUAAGAGUCCCUCCAUAAAGAUCGUGAAGCCUAUCUUCUCCUUCAAAAGGAGUAUGCGGAUCACCAAACCUCACAAAACCAAUCACCAAACAACUGCAUCCUUUGGUUCAAGCCGAGUCCUCUGUUAUCGUCAAUGUCCUUUACCGACCGGAAUACCUUUUCCAGCCUGGCACGGAAGCACGGAAGAAGUGUGAUAAUGGCGGAUUCAUUCGCAGGUUGAUUAAACACACUGAACGAUUGCUGGAGGACAAGGAGGAAAAACUUUGCAUCCAAGUUCUCAACACUUUACGUCACAUGAUGAAUUUCGAUGGUGGGAAUGGCGAAAAGGGAGACGCAUUGAGAAAGAAUCUUUGAGUUCGCUACUUUGCCAAACUAGCCUCUCAUAGUUCUAAAAAGGCCGAGUUCAAUGGCGGAAGCGGAAUCUACCGCUGGAAUUCAUUCAACAUUAUCUGGUGGUACUGGUGGUGGAGGAGGCGGUGUCGGACAAUCUUCAUCGCUGACAACCCACGGACCUCGAGAGCGUCUCCUGUCGCGAGGUGAAAUGUGUUUCCACGAGGUGCAAGUGUACCUGUACUGAGCAGGCGCCUCUGAUUUGAUGGCCAUAUUGGUCAUGAAGUCGUCGUUAUCGCCAUCGUUUUCAUGGAAGCGGUCCAGUUGGGGAUCGCCCUGUUGGAAGGCGACCACCCCGUAAGCAAGCGGAGUCUCUACACGAAAUUUACUGAAAAAUAACGAUUUAAAAAAAGGAAAUUCGAUCGUUUUUCAGCUGUCAAAAGCCCCAGCUUUAGUUACUUUUAUUUUUCGUAGUUCUAAAGUCAUUUAUUGUAAUUAUUUUGAGAUUAUUUGGGGUGAUAUUUUACCGUAAGUGAUCUAGCUUCAAAGCUCACUUGUUAGAUUUUUUAUAUUUUGCGUUUAUAUCUACUUCCGGUUUCUAAAUCAGUUAAUAGUUCAGUAAGUUUGUAUGUGACACCCAAAUAAACCCAUUAUUCGUGA